RNAcentral lists this non-coding RNA (29 nucleotides) under Rattus norvegicus (Norway rat). Lineage: Eukaryota; Metazoa; Chordata; Mammalia; Rodentia; Muridae. The record is from RNAcentral.
UAAAAUGGUAAAUGUUCAUUUGACUAUUU